CAAAAACAAAGGCACUGGCAGAAAAUAAGGGGAAGGACUUGCAAAGUUGAUAUACAGACCAGACAAUGGGGAAAUUCUUGGAGUUCAUAUCUUUGGUAUGCAUGCUGCUGACCUCAUUCAUGAAGCGUCCAACGCCAUAGCAUUGGGAACGUCCAUUCAGGAUAUAAAGUUUGCAGUGCACGCACAUCCAACAUUGUCUGAAGUCCUUGAUGAACUGUUCAAAUC
Long non-coding RNA from Solanum tuberosum (potato), 225 nucleotides. RefSeq lists it as uncharacterized. The transcript is spliced from 3 exons. NCBI's taxonomy places the organism in Eukaryota, Viridiplantae, Streptophyta, Magnoliopsida, Solanales, Solanaceae. The record is from RefSeq and is a predicted model, not a curated record.